This 406-nucleotide ribosomal RNA is filed under the name uncultured bacterium. Its description in RNAcentral is "partial 16S ribosomal RNA". It matches the Rfam family "Bacterial small subunit ribosomal RNA", at positions 30 to 526 of the family's 1533-position model. The record is from RNAcentral.
AUUGAACGCUGGCGGCAGGCCUAACACAUGCAAGUCGAGCGAGUGGCGGACGGGUGAGUAAUGUCUGGGAAACUGCCUGAUGGAGGGGGAUAACUACUGGAAACGGUAGCUAAUACCGCAUACCAUCGGAUGUGCCCAGGUGGGAUUAGCUAGUAGGUGGGGUAAUGGCUCACCUAGGCGACGAUCCCUAGCUGGUCUGAGAGGAUGACCAGCCACACUGGAACUGAGACACUGUCCAGACUCCUACGGGAGGCAGCAGUGGGGAAUAUUGCACAAUGGGCGCAAGCCUGAUGCAGCCAUGCCGCGUGUAUGAAGAAGGCCUUCGGGUUGUAAAGCACUUUCAGCGAGGAGGCGUUACUCGCAGAAGAAGCACCGGCUAACUCCGUGCCAGCAGCCGCGGUAAUUC